Molecule: ribosomal RNA, 446 nt
Filed under: uncultured bacterium
Lineage: Bacteria
Description: partial 16S ribosomal RNA
Rfam family: Bacterial small subunit ribosomal RNA
Source: RNAcentral
GAUGAACGCUGGCGGCGUGCCUAACACAUGCAAGUCGAGCGAUUCUCUUCGGAGAAGAGCGGCGGACGGGUGAGUAACGCGUGGGUAACCUGCCCUGUACACACGGAUAACAUACCGAAAGGUAUGCUAAUACGGGAUAAUAUAUAAGAGUCGCAUGACUUUUAUAUCAAAGAUUUUUCGGUACAGGAUGGACCCGCGUCUGAUUAGCUUGUUGGCGGGGUAMCGGCCCACCAAGGCGACGAUCAGUAGCCGACCUGAGAGGGUGAUCGGCCACAUUGGAACUGAGACACGGUCCAAACUCCUACGGGAGGCAGCAGUGGGGAAUAUUGCACAAUGGGCGCAAGCCUGAUGCAGCAACGCCGCGUGAGCGAUGAAGGCCUUCGGGUSGUAAAKCUYUGUCCUCAAGGAAGAUAAUGACGGUACUGAGAGAGCCCCGRWUMMMGUCU